This 69-nucleotide transfer RNA is filed under the name Abraxas latifasciata. Its description in RNAcentral is "tRNA-Cys". The record is from RNAcentral. Lineage: Eukaryota; Metazoa; Arthropoda; Insecta; Lepidoptera; Geometridae.
AGCUUUAUAUUCAAAAAUGAUAUAAAAUUGCAAAUUUUAAGGUAUAAUUUAAACAAAUUAUUAAGGCUU